This 468-nucleotide ribosomal RNA is filed under the name uncultured delta proteobacterium. RNAcentral describes it as "bacterial SSU rRNA". It matches the Rfam family "Bacterial small subunit ribosomal RNA", at positions 365 to 825 of the family's 1533-position model. The record is from RNAcentral. Lineage: Bacteria; Deltaproteobacteria.
UGGGCAAUGGGCGAAAGCYUGACCCAGCCACGCCGCGUGUGUGAUGAAGGCUUCGGGUCGUAAAGCACUGUGGGGAGAGACGAAACAGCGCAUCAGGAAAUGGUUGCGCCUUGACGGUACCUCCUUAGCAAGCACCGGCUAACUCUGUGCCAGCAGCCGCGGUAAUACAGAGGGUGCAAACGUUGCUCGGAUUUACUGGGCGUAAAGCGCGUGUAGGCGGACUCGCAAGUCGGUUGUGAAAUCCCUGGGCUCAACCUAGGAACUGCAUCCGAAACUGCUUGUCUUGAGUAAUGGAGAGGGUGGCGGAAUUCCCGGUGUAGAGGUGAAAUUCGUAGAUAUCGGGAGGAACAUCAGUGGCGAAGGCGGCCACCUGGACAUUUACUGACGCUGAGACGCGAAAGCGUGGGGAGCAAACAGGAUUAGAUACCCUGGUAGUCCACGCCGUAAACGAUGAGAACCUAGGUGCAG